RNAcentral lists this ribosomal RNA (320 nucleotides) under uncultured eukaryote. Its description in RNAcentral is "partial 18S ribosomal RNA". It matches the Rfam family "Eukaryotic small subunit ribosomal RNA", at positions 1470 to 1796 of the family's 1831-position model. The record is from RNAcentral.
CCCCUAGAUGUUCUGGGCCGCACGCGCGCUACACUGAACAGUUCAACAAGUCUUAACCUUGGCCGAUAGGUCUGGGUAAUCUUUGAACGCUGUUCGUGAUUGGGAUAGACCUUUGCAAUUAUGGGUCUUCAACGAGGAAUUCCUAGUAAACGCAAGUCAUCAGCUUGCAUUGAUUACGUCCCUGCCCUUUGUACACACCGCCCGUCGCACCUACCGAUUGAAUGGUCCGGUGAAAUCUCGGGACGGCGGCUUGGUCGCUUGCGUCCGACUGCUGAAACUUGAUUAAACCAUAUCAUUUAGAGGAAGUUAAAGUCGUAACA